RNAcentral lists this transfer RNA (69 nucleotides) under Hylarana latouchii (broad-folded frog). Its description in RNAcentral is "tRNA-Asp". It matches the Rfam family "tRNA". Rfam says of the family: Transfer RNA (tRNA) molecules are approximately 80 nucleotides in length. Their secondary structure includes four short double-helical elements and three loops (D, anti-codon, and T loops). The record is from RNAcentral. Lineage: Eukaryota; Metazoa; Chordata; Amphibia; Anura; Ranidae.
GAAGAAUUAGUUAAAUAAUAAUAUUACUUUGUCAAAGUAAAGUAACUAGUUAAACUCUUGUAUUCUUCC